Molecule: non-coding RNA, 96 nt
Filed under: Nonomuraea sp.
Lineage: Bacteria; Bacillati; Actinomycetota; Actinomycetes; Streptosporangiales; Streptosporangiaceae
Also listed under: 1 other name
Description: TPP sequence
Rfam family: TPP riboswitch aptamer (THI element)
About the family: Vitamin B(1) in its active form thiamin pyrophosphate (TPP) is an essential coenzyme that is synthesised by coupling of pyrimidine and thiazole moieties in bacteria. The previously detected thiamin-regulatory element, thi box was extended, resulting in a new, highly conserved RNA secondary structure, the THI element, which is widely distributed in eubacteria and also occurs in some archaea.
Source: RNAcentral
GCCGUUGACGCGGGGUGCCCGGAGGGCCGGGCUGAGAUCACACCCGUCGAACCUGAUCUAGCUCGUACUAGCGAAGGGACGUCACAGCCGUGAGCG